Molecule: ribosomal RNA, 1517 nt
Filed under: metagenome
Description: bacterial SSU rRNA
Rfam family: Bacterial small subunit ribosomal RNA
Source: RNAcentral
GCGGCGUGGAUUAGGCAUGCAAGUCGAGCGAACUUUUUUAAUGAUGUAUAUUUGAAGCCUUCGGGUUGAUGAUGUGCUGAUUUAUUAAGGUUAGCGGCAAACGGGUGAGUAACACGUGGGUAACGUACCUUAAGGAGGAGGAUAGCCUUGAGAAAUCAGGGGUAAUACUCCGUAAUCCCUUAUACCUGGAAUGGUAAAGGGCAAAGAUGGCCUCUACUUGUAAGCUAUCGCCAUAAGAGCGGCCCGCGUCCUAUCAGGUUGUUGGCAGGGUAAAAGCCUACCAAGCCUAAGACGGGUAGCUGGUCUGAGAGGAUGGUCAGCCACAUCGGGACUGAGACACUGCCCGGACUCCUACGGGAGGCUGCAGUCGAGAAUCUUUCACAAUGGACGAAGGUCUGAUGAUGCGACGCCGCGUGGGGGAUGAAGGUUUACGGAUUGUAAACCCCUUUUAUUGAAGAGAAACUUUUAUGUUUCAAAUAGAGACAUAGGAUUGACUGUAUUCAAUGAAUAAGCCACGGCUAACUCCGUGCCAGCAGCCGCGGUAAUACGGAGGUGGCAAGCGUUACUCGGUUUGACUGGGUGUAAAGGGUCCGCAGGCGGCCAAAUAAGUGAAAGGUGAAAUCCUUCGGCUCAACCGGAGAAUGGCCUUUCAAACUGUAUGGCUCGAGGCUGGAAGAAGAGAGUAGAACUGCUAGUGUAAGGGUGAAAUCUGUGGAUAUUAGCAGGAAUGCCUGUGGUGUAGACGACUCUCUGGUCCAGACCUGACGCUCAGGGACAAAAGCUAGGGGAGCGAACAGGAUUAGAUACCCUGGUAGUCCUAGCUGUAAACGAUGGGCACUAGGUGUCUGUCCGUAAGGAUGGGUGCCGGAGUUAACGCGUUAAGUGCCCCACCUGGGGACUACGGCCGCAAGGCUAAAACUCAAAGGAAUUGACGGGGACCCGCACAAGCGGUGGAACACGUGGUUUAAUUCGACUACGCGCGGAACCUUACCAGGGUUUGACAUGCUAGAAGUAGUGCCCCGAAAGGGGUUCCGACCGGUAACCAGUCCGGUACUAGCACAGGUGCUGCAUGGUUGUCGUCAGCUCGUGCCGUGAGGUGUUCCCUUAGGUGGGAAAACGAGCGCAACCCUCGCCCUUUGUUGCCACUUCUGGUUUUAAAUCAGAAAGCACUCUAGGGGGACUGCCCGCGUUAAGUGGGAGGAAGGUGGGGACGACGUCAAAUCCGCAUGGCCCUUAUAUCCUGGGCUACACACGUGUUACAAUGCCUGUUACAAUGGGGGGCGAAGCCGUGAGGUGGAGCAAAUCUCAAAAAAACAGGCUCAGUUCGGAUCGAAGGCUGCAACUCGCCUUCGUGAAGCUGGAAUCGCUAGUAAUGGCGCAUCAGCUACGGCGCCGUGAAUACGUACCCGGGUCUUGUACACACCGCCCGUCAAGCGCUGAAAGUGGGGGGCACCCGAAGUCCCGAUCAUUCGGGAUCACGGUGAAUUUCAUGAUUGGCGCUAAGUCGAAACAAGGUA